Molecule: long non-coding RNA, 784 nt
Filed under: Spirodela polyrhiza (greater duckweed)
Lineage: Eukaryota; Viridiplantae; Streptophyta; Magnoliopsida; Alismatales; Araceae
Description: long non-coding RNA (SPOL_LNC002629)
Source: RNAcentral
AGAGAGAGAGAGAGAGAGAGAGAGAGAGAGGCAGAAAGCGGUACAUGGAAUGUUAUAUUCAUUGUCGCAAAGAAGCACCGGAGAUUACAUGAAAAGCAGUGGAACGAAUAGGAAAACACCCAACCAGCAGACCUCAGCCCCGCUCCCCCAUCAACUAUCUCUUUCAGCCCUCCCCACCAUUUUACACCCCGAAAACCUAAUCCGGCGCGGUGCUCACAGCUCGUAGACCUGCUUGCCGGUGAACUUGACCUCAAUUUGGCUGACGUUCUUCCCGAUGGAGCGGAGGUUCUGGCCCACCCCCUGGCGUCCGGGGUUGACCUUCUCAGGAUAGACACCAUCCUUGGGGUGGAGGUACUGCACCUCUCCAUUGGGGAAGACCCGGUAGAACUGGUACUUGAUCUUGUACUUGGACCUGAGGCGGGUGCCCAGGGCGAGGCACUGCUCCUUCCUCGCCAGCUUCAGCAGAUUGGGGCCCUGCCGCAUGAUUGCGGCGCCGCCGGUGGGCAUCUCGAAGACCUGCUCCUUGGGGGAGUCCCAGGUGAUCACGUAGAACUCCUCCACCUGCGCCUUCCUCAGGAGGCCCCCCGUGCUGCCGGCGAAGAUCGGCGAGGGCGUGUUGGGGUCCAGCUGCGGGGGGGUGAACCCUGCGGGGGCCUUCUCCUCCGCUGCCGGCGCCGCCGUCUCCUCGGUGGCGCGGGUCCUAAGGCUGCCGCGCGAGGCGGAGCCCAGCGGCUUCGCGGCGGCGAGCUUCCACGGCACCGCCACCCGCGCGGGGGCCGCGGAG